AGGGCGAACGGGGGAUGCCUAGGCUAUCCGGAGGCGAAGAAGGACGCGGUAAGCUGCGAAAAUUCACGGGGAUUCGCAAACAGGAAGUGAUCCGUGAGUGUCCGAAUGGGGCAACCCGGCAGGCUGAAGGCCUGUCACCAUCUUAGGAUGGGGCGAACGGGGGGAACUGAAACAUCUCAGUACCCCCAGGAGAAGAAAGAAAGAUCGAUGACCUGAGUAGAGGCGAUCGAAAGGGUCGGAGCCUAAACCGUGCAGCUCAAGGGCUGUGCGGGGUCGUAGGAGCUCCCAAGGGAUGACGUCAAGGAACUGGAAGCGCAUGGAAAGGCGCCGCGCAGAGUGUGACACGCACGUACAGGCAACGAGGACGUUACAGGGGAGCCACCUGAGUAGGGCGGGGCACGAGGAAUCCUGUCCGAAUCCGCGGGGACCAUCCCGCAAGGCUAAAUACAUCCGGAAGACCGAUAGUGAACCAGUACCGUGAGGGAAAGGUGGGAAGAACCCCGAACAGGGGAGUGAAAGAGAACCUGAAACCGUUCGUCUACAAGCGGUCGGAGCUCGCGAGAGCGACGGCGUGCCUUUUGCAUAAUGAGCCUACGAGUUGCUUCACGCCGGCGAGGCUAAGCCAUUGAGUGGCGGAGCCGGAGCGAGAGCGAGUCUGAACAGGGCGUUCAGUCGGCGUGAGCAGACGCGAAACCUAGUGAUCUACCCUUGUCCAGGGUGAAGUCGCCGUAACAGGCGAUGGAGGCCCGAACCAGUUUCCGUUGAAAAGGGCUUGGAUGAGAUGAGGGUAGGAGUGAAAGGCCAAUCAAACUGGGAGAUAGCUCGUACUCCCCGAAAUGUCUUUAGGGACAGCCUCGACGGUGUGUAUGUGAGGUAGAGAUACUGAUAGGAAGAGAGGGCUUCGCCGCCUGUCAAUUCCUGCCAAACUCCGAAUGCGCAUACAUUAGACGUCGGGAGUGAGUCGGCGGGUGCUAAUAUCCGUCGGCGAGAGGGUAAGAGCCCAGACCUCCGGCCAAGGCCCCAAAGCGCAGUUUAAGUUGAGAGAGAACAAGGUGACACCGCAGAGACAGCUAGGAUGUUAGCUUGGAAGCAGCUAUUCAUUCAAAGAGUGCGUAACAGCUCACUAGUCGAGCGGUGACGCGUGGAUGAUGACCGGGCAUCAAGACUGCCGCCGAAGCCGAGGGCGCGAAGCGAUUCGCGCGGUAGGGGAGCAUUGUGUACAGCGGAGAAGGCCGACCGGCGAGGUCGACUGGAGCGUACAGAAAAGAAAAUGUAGGCAUGAGUAACGAUAAGGGGAAGAGAAAUUCCCCCGCCGACAACCCAAGGGUUCCUGAACAACGUUAAACGGAUCAGGGUAAGCCGGGAGCUAAGCCGAAGCCGAGAGGCGCAGGUGAUGCACAAGCGGUAAAGAUUCCGCUGCCCGCGUUACAGUCGGAGAUGGGACCUGGGAGUGGUCCGGCCGCCGUCUGACGGAAUAGACGGUUGAAGCGGGGUAGGCGCAAGCCGAGCCGCGACAGUACGGCGAGUCUUCGGACGAGCCGACAGCGCCGGAGAAUCAGGCCAGCGAGAAAACCAUCGACGAGCUAAGCGUGACGCGGCCCGUACCGUAAACCGACACAGGUGGGUGAGGAGAGAAUCCUAAGGCGCUCGAGUGAAUCACAGCUAAGGAACUAGGCAAAUUGACCCCGUAACUUCGGGAGAAGGGGACCCACAGCGAUGUGGGCGCAGAGAAAUGGCCCAGGCGACUGUUUACCAAAAACACAUGGCUAUGCGAAAUCGUUAAGAUGACGAAUAUGGCCUGACACCUGCCCGGUGCCGGAAGGUUAAGAGGGGGGGUCACCGAAAGGGAAGCCCUGAAUUGAAGCCCCGGUAAACGGCGGCCGUAACUAUAACGGUCCUAAGGUAGCGAAAUUCCUUGUCGGGUAAGUUCCGACCUGCACGAACGGCGCAACGACUUGGGCGCUGUCUCGACCAUGGGCCCGGCGAAAUUGCAUUAUCCGUGAAGAUGCGGAUUCCCCGCGGAAGGACGGAAAGACCCCGUGAACCUUUACUGCAGCUUGGCAUUGGCCGCAGGCGCGGCGCGUAGAGGAUAGGCAGGAGGCUGCGAAGCCCGGGCGCCAGCCCGGGCGGAGCCGACCUUGGAAUACUGCCCCCGUCGCGUCGGCGGCCUAACCCGGGGACGGCCCGGGGACCGUGCCAGGCGGGCAGUUUGACUGGGGCGGUCGCCUCCCAAAGAGUAACGGAGGCGCGCGCAAGGUCCGCUCAGGACGGUCGGCAACCGUCCGCGGAGCGCAAGAGCACAAGCGGGCCUGACUGCGAGGCAGACAAGCCGAGCAGGGACGAAAGUCGGCUCUAGUGAUCCGGCGGCCCCGAGUGGAAGGGCCGUCGCUCAACGGAUAAAAGGUACUCCGGGGAUAACAGGCUGAUCUUGCCCAAGAGUCCACAUCGACGGCAAGGUUUGGCACCUCGAUGUCGGCUCAUCGCAUCCUGGGGCUGGAGCAGGUCCCAAGGGUACGGCUGUUCGCCGUUUAAAGUGGUACGCGAGCUGGGUUUAAAACGUCGUGAGACAGUUUGGUCCCUAUCUUCUGUGGGCGUAGGAGAAUUGAAAGGGCCUGUCCCUAGUACGAGAGGACCGGGAUGGACACACCACUGGUGGACCUGUUGUCGUGCCAACGGCACAGCAGGGUAGCUAUGUGUGGAAGGGAUAACCGCUGAAAGCAUCUAAGCGGGAAGCCUGCCUUAAGAUAAGUUCUCCCUGACGCAAGUCCUGAAGGGCCGAGGUAGACGACCUCGUUGAUAGGCUGGAGGUGGAAGCCCUGUGAGGGGUGGAGCUGACCAGUACUAAUAGCCCGUGCGUCUUGUUU
RNAcentral lists this ribosomal RNA (2864 nucleotides) under human gut metagenome. RNAcentral describes it as "bacterial LSU rRNA". It matches the Rfam family "Bacterial large subunit ribosomal RNA". The record is from RNAcentral.